CAGCUGGACUCAGUUUAGAUGAUCCCAAUUUUGUUGGCAACAUCCAAAGCAUCAUAGUCAGGAGCCAAUGGAACAUAUGCUUUCUUUUCUCCAUUGGGCCUGAUCAGAGUGUUGACCUUGACAAUGUCAAUGUCAUAGAACUUCUUUACAGCCUGUUUGAUCUGGUGCUUGUUGGCCUUGACAUCCACAAUAAACACAAGAGUGUUGUUGUCUUCUAUUUUCUUCAUGGCUGACUUGGCAGUUAGGGGAAACUUGAUGAUGGCAUAGCGGUCAAGCUUGUUCCUCCUGGGGGCGCUCUUUCGAGGAUAUUUGGGCUGCUUUCGGACAUGCGGUGUCUUGGGCCAUCGGAAGGUAAAUGACGUGCAGAUCUUCUUUUUUUUUUUUAUGACUGUGGACGCCUUUCAGCACUGCUUUCUUCGCCUUCAAAGCCCUUCCUUUGGCUUCAGCUUUGGGAGGAGCAGGGGCUUCCUUCUUCACCUUCGGCUCCAUCUUCGUGAUAGGG
RNAcentral lists this long non-coding RNA (502 nucleotides) under Lynx pardinus (Iberian lynx). The record is from RNAcentral. Lineage: Eukaryota; Metazoa; Chordata; Mammalia; Carnivora; Felidae.